UCUAGUGUAGAGGUGAAAUUCGUAGAUAUUAGAAAGAAUACCAAUUGCGAAGGCAGCUUUCUGGAUCAUUACUGACACUGAGGAACGAAAGCAUGGGUAGCGAAGAGGAUUAGAUACCCUCGUAGUCCAUGCCGUAAACGAUGUGUGUUAGACGUUGGAAAUUUAUUUUCAGUGUCGCAGCGAAAGCGAUAAACACACCGCCUGGGGAGUACGACCGCAAGGUUAAAACUCAAAUGAAUUGACGGGGACCCGCACAAGUAGUGGAGCAUGUGGUUUAAUUCGAAGAUACGCGCAGAACCUUACCAACACUUGACAUGUUCGUCGCGACUUUAAGAGAUUAAAGUUUUCGGUUCGGCCGGACGAAACACAGGUGCUGCAUGGCUGUCGUCAGCUCGUGUCGUGAGAUGUUGGGUUAAGUCCCGCAACGAGCGCAACCCUCACUUUUAGUUGCCAUCAUUUAGUUGGGCACUCUGAAAGAACUGCCAGUGAUAAGCUGGAGGAAGGUGGGGAUGACGUCAAGUCCUCAUGGCCCUUACGUGUUGGGCUACACACGUGCUACAAUGGUAUCUACAACAGGAAGCAAAACAGCGAUGUUAAGCAAAUCCUUAAAAGAUACCUCAGUUCGGAUUGCACUCUGCAACUCGAGUGCAUGAAGCUGGAAUUACUAGUAAUCGUGGAUCAGCGUGCCACGGUGAAUGCGUUCCCGGGUCUUGUACACACCGCCCGUCACACCAUGGGAGUUGGUUCUACCUUAAGGCAAGGUUUAAUACCCUUGACCACGGUAUAGUCAGCGACUGGGGUGAAGUCGUAACAAGGUAGCCGUAGGGGAACCUGCGGCUG
This 840-nucleotide ribosomal RNA is filed under the name marine metagenome. RNAcentral's name for it is "bacterial SSU rRNA". It matches the Rfam family "Bacterial small subunit ribosomal RNA", at positions 669 to 1520 of the family's 1533-position model. The record is from RNAcentral.